AACGCGAAGAACCUUACCAGCCCUUGACAUCCCGGUCGCGGACUCCAGAGACGGAGUUCUUCAGUUCGGCUGGACCGGAGACAGGUGCUGCAUGGCUGUCGUCAGCUCGUGUCGUGAGAUGUUGGGUUAAGUCCCGCAACGAGCGCAACCCCCGUCCUUAGUUGCUACCAUUCAGUUGAGCACUCUAAGGAGACUGCCGGUGAUAAGCCGCGAGGAAGGUGGGGAUGACGUCAAGUCCUCAUGGCCCUUACGGGCUGGGCUACACACGUGCUACAAUGGCGGUGACAAUGGGACGCUAAGGGGCAACCCUUCGCAAAUCUCAAAAAGCCGUCUCAGUUCGGAUUGGGCUCUGCAACUCGAGCCCAUGAAGUUGGAAUCGCUAGUAAUCGUGGAUCAGCAUGCCACGGUGAAUACGUUCCCGGGCCUUGUA
Molecule: ribosomal RNA, 430 nt
Filed under: uncultured Alphaproteobacteria bacterium
Lineage: Bacteria; Pseudomonadati; Pseudomonadota; Alphaproteobacteria
Description: bacterial SSU rRNA
Rfam family: Bacterial small subunit ribosomal RNA
Source: RNAcentral